CCCAAUAUCAGUUUUCUUAAAGUGAAUUCAUGUUUAAGUUGAUAACUUCGAUGUAUCCCAUGUGUUAUGUUAUUUUCCAUUCACUGUUACGAUCGUACUGUAGUUUGCAUGUUUGAGAGAAAGUUUAUUAAUACUUUUCUUAUGACCUUGGGUUUCUACAUGCUAAGGCUAACAUGGCUAGCCGUAAACUCCGCUAGCCACGUUCAUACAUUGAAAGUAAUAUUGCUCUCUUUCUUGCUUGUGCAGAUGUACACCGAUUUCUGAUGGCAAUGAUUUGAUUUAUUUUCCAAAGGAAAAUAAAUGAAAAAAAAUUCAACAGUUUCGCCUCCGUCUCCCUGAUGCUCGACCAUCGUUACACAACUUCAGUUUAAUCAUGUUCAGUUAAAUUAUAUUGAAAAUAGCAAUUCUGCCUCUCCCAUCGAUAUAAAAUUACUGGGUAGCUAGUAGCCUACCCGUGAUACACAACUAAGCUGCACGAUUAAGUCGUUUUUCGAAGAGAAAAGCUGCAAUUUAAACAUGUUCAAGCAUCCAGAAUUAUAACCACGUUAAUAACGUUUGUAAGAAACCAAACCGUUUGUAAAUCCGUCAAGAUUUCAGCGGGAUAAGAGUAUUAGCGUUUGUGCAGAUCACUGAUUUACGGCCGCUACAACAGAUUCCACCAGAAAGCUUUACUGUGGUAAGAUGGCGGCCUAUGGUGAUGUUCUCUAGGCCGUUUCUCUCUUCCAAUGGAAUUGCAGUAUAUCCUCCAAAAUGUGCGUUUUUGAGUUUUUAUUGUUCUCCUUACUAUAGCCAGAGCCGGAUUAACCCAAAGGCAAAGUAGGCACGUGCCUAGGGCCUGAUUGGCGGGGGGGGGGGCCCAGACAGAAGUACAAAAAAAAUAAAUAAUAAUAAUGAAAUAGCCAAUACAAAUGUCCUACCUACUAUUUAUUUCAGUGAUAAUAUAUCCAUAUAUAUUAAUUAACUAAAAAUAGUGACGUUGUUUAUCUUACCGUUACGUCACAUUAACGCCAAUCAGUUAAGUCCGAGGGGAGGUCAGCGGGUCAAGACUAAGCGGAACAAUAAAGCUAGCAGGCAGGUCGUUUCU
Molecule: long non-coding RNA, 1084 nt
Filed under: Gadus morhua (Atlantic cod)
Lineage: Eukaryota; Metazoa; Chordata; Actinopteri; Gadiformes; Gadidae
Description: lncRNA (ENSGMOG00000029280.1)
Source: RNAcentral